Molecule: small nuclear RNA, 103 nt
Organism: Zalophus californianus (California sea lion)
Lineage: Eukaryota; Metazoa; Chordata; Mammalia; Carnivora; Otariidae
Source: Ensembl
UGCUCUCUCUGGCAGCACAUAUACUAAAUUGGACCCAUACAGAGCAGACUAGCAUGACCUGCACAAGGAUGACACUUAAAAAUUUCACUUUCUCCUCUUCCAU